RNAcentral lists this ribosomal RNA (450 nucleotides) under uncultured bacterium. Its description in RNAcentral is "partial 16S ribosomal RNA". It matches the Rfam family "Bacterial small subunit ribosomal RNA", at positions 354 to 796 of the family's 1533-position model. The record is from RNAcentral.
GUGGGGAAUAUUGGACAAUGGGCGAAAGCCUGAUCCAGCCAUGCCGCGUGUGUGAAGAAGGUCUUCGGAUUGUAAAGCACUUUAAGUUGGGAGGAAGGACAGUAAGUUAAUACCUUGCUGUUUUGACGUUACCGACAGAAUAAGCACCGGCUAACUUCGUGCCAGCAGCCGCGGUAAUACGAAGGGUGCAAGCGUUAAUCGGAAUUACUGGGCGUAAAGCGCGCGUAGGUGGUUUUGUAAGUUGGAGGUGAAAUCCCCGGGCUCAACCUGGGAACUGCCUCCAAAACUGCAUGACUAGAGUACGGUAGAGGGUAGUGGAAUUUCCUGUGUAGCGGUGAAAUGCGUAGAUAUAGGAAGGAACACCAGUGGCGAAGGCGACCACCUGGACUGAUACUGACACUGAGGUGCGAAAGCGUGGGGAGCAAACAGGAUUAGAAACCCUUGUAGUCC